UCGGCCCUCCUCUUCUCUCUCUCUGCCCCCUCAUCCUCUCGGAUUCCACGGCUCUCCUCCCUGACCAUCCCGAUUUGUCGUCGUUCGGGGGUGGCCGCGAGCCUGCGACGAACCGGACGGCGGCGAGCUGCUCACGGUGAAGUGAGCAGGCGGCGUCUCCGUGGAGGUGCAGCUACGCGGGAGGGGCUCACCCUCGCCUCGCUCUGCUCUCCGCAAAUGCUCCCCUCAGUCUCCUGCCUCUGCUUCCGCGCCGUGGCGGCGAGUACCAAAUCUUCCCCGAGUUCGCUCUGGGUAGCUUUCUCGCCGGCCAGAUGGAGAGGAACGGAGGCGGUCUCAAGGAAGGCACCGUACGGGAGUCUGCAGCGGAUGUGCCCAGGGGCCUCAUGCACCUCCACGGCGAGAUCAAUUGGAGGAAAGUGUUUAUCAGAGCGGAAGGCUGGCCCAAGCGCACGAACUUCGGCUAUGCGAGGAUCAUGGAUUCGGCGGGCGUUCAUGGCGCUUGAGGUGGCGCACAAGGAGGAGCAGGACGACCCGUUGAUAUUUGGAUUUGGCGGUGCGCCUUACGACGCAAGCCGACCCGCGUCCGUGGAGGCCUGCUUCCGCGGCGGCAGCGCUCAACCAAGGUGAGGUCGAUAAGAGGGGCUCCUCCAUGUCAAUUUCCGAGGGGGCCGCCCCAUUCCUCUCCUCGCAAGGGGAGAUUGACCGCCGGCAUCUCCGUCUGGCUCCCUCCUCCUCUUCAAUCUACGGAUCCAGGCCACUCCAUUCUGGUCCUGGAAGUAAUUGGGACCUUCUUCCAUUAAACUUGGUGGAGCUGGUGUACCCGAUCUGUCCCCUCUCUCUCUUCUGGGAUGAUAUGUUGAAUGUUCGGAUGCAGAACAUUCUGGGAUGAUGGUGUAUUAGUGCCCUCCACAUGUUUGUUGUUAUGUUUGUUUCAACUGAAACUAUUUUUUUAGGGUUCUCUGGUGGUCUUUUCUCUAGGCUGCACACAUACUGAUCCAUACAGGUUAAGUGUCCAUUCUUCUUUUCUCACUGCCUUUAUCCGUUUAUUGUGUUUCAAACUGUUGUGGCAAUAUGUACAAGACUGAGGCGUGCAUUUUAGGUACAAAGUUUACUCUCAUCACUACACACAUGUAUGCAGGCUGCUAUCUUCUUCUCAUACAUGCAUGCUAAAAUGCAUGUAAUUAAUUUGGAUGCAUAUCAGCAAUGGAGAGUGAGAGUGAGGGGUCAAAAGCAUUCAGUUAGCAUAUCUACUGUGUAUGCUGCAACAUGCACACUCGAGGUGAGCUGCGUCAGCGCACUAUGUGAACAUGUCGUGCAACAGUUUAAGCGACUACAUUCAAGAAUUCUGUGUGAUCUCUUGGUGGCGUCCAUGUAUGAGGACCUUCAGAUUUGGGACGAUAGACACCUUCAGUGAAAAUAGGAGUAAGGAUUGGACCAAAGAAAGAAGUGCGCGAACCUGCUACCAGAGAGCGCAUAAAGGGUUUGGAGUAGAGGCAGGAUGCGCUGCGGAUGGAGCAGCAAAAACUCUUUAUUCGUCUAGCAUCUCGAGGAAAUCACCAAAUGGGUUUGGUACGUCUUCUCCUGAUCUUUAUUUGUAAAAAAAAAGGCUCUUCAUGUUCCCUUGGUAUGAUGAGAUUUUUUUGCUUAUCGAUAGGUUAUUCAGGUAUUCCUCUCAUCUUCCUCAUGGUUAGAUUUGAUAUGUUUCUCAUCCUUUUGGAUUGUUAGGAAUGCCCGUACCUCUGCACUAUUUUUUCUUGAUAUGGUUGUAGUCCAAAUUUGAAUAGUUACACUAUAUAUGUCUGAAUAUGGCUUCUCGCCAUGGAUACUUAUGUCGCUGAUAAGGUCAUCUCUCAGUAACUCUUGAUGUUUUAGUUCAGUGGUACGCUAAAAAGGGUGAUCCUAUGGCCUUCCAAAAAAUACUGUUACUUAGUGGCAGCCCUUAUUUUUUGAAUCAGUUGAAAGCUACUGUCUUUCCGCUGUACUACUUGAGCUCUAGGUGUUUCUUCAUAACCAAGCAAUGCUUCUUAUGGCAGUAAAAGCUGAUAUUAAGUUGGAAGCCAUGCUAAAAAAUUGUGCAACAUAUUAGGGCCUAGGUUUAUACUUUAUCAUAGCUAUUCUUUAUUGCAUUUGGCCCACAAAUUGUGGAUGAAGAUACCUAUCUCACCAAUCAGCUAAAGUAAUGUCGACCUGGGCAAUGGCUACUGAUAUAUUGCCUCAGUUCAAGAGGUCAGCUUCUUUCAGGCUAAAACCCAUGCAAGGGACAAAAUUUUCAGUGAAUACUUUCAUAGGAAGCAUUACAAAUGUUUAUUCCAGGGCAGGUUCUUCCUCGCUUGAUUUGUGUAUUUUUCUCUUCAUAUGUUUUUCUUUCUUUGCAAUCCACCCUCAUAUAUUACAUUGUUCUGUUUCGAUUAGCACCACAGUAAGCAGGCCUCUGUAAAUCGCUCUGGCCAUCCUCCUCUGCUUGCCCUCGCAUUUCCGAACCAUAUAUUCACUGGUUGAUAAGAAGAAAAUAUUUAUCUUGGCUACAUGGUUUGCCUUCCAGUUUUGGUUGCAGUAUGUGGUUCUCUAUGCGGAAAAUAAAUACUUACGCCCAGGUUUAGAAGACAGCAAAGCAAACUGCUUUGGCGAAAGAUCUGUUGAAGUCCUGACUGGAAAAUAUUAUGCACCUAUUUACCUGUAGUAUUAGGUAUCUAUGUGUUAUUAUGACAAGUGUUCUGAUUAGUUCACUCGGCAUGUCUACUAGGCAUAGUCAGACUAUGGUCAUAUUAAGUGCCUCUGUGUAUAAUCAUGACAAAUGCCUCCUUCAUCUUACUAAUCGUACUACUAGAUUGAUUUAAUCGAUAUUGUUUCAGUACUGUCUACAACUCGCAUCAUAUUCUUAAGUCUCAAAUCCAGUAUACAAAAGGACAUCACUCAGUCUGACAUAUCGGCAAAUCAUCUUGGUGGCUUGGUUUAUAUAAAUACAAAACAAUACCAGUAUCCUCGCCUUACAAAUAUGGCAAAGGAGGAAGAAAACAGGCGCACCAUAGACUCUCCCUUCGAUAAUGCCGGCGAGCCCUGAAUCCCAUGCGGUGAAACCGCCCUCUCUGGUGGUGCCCACCCAGCCUCCCCCAGCUGACACCAACCUGCCACACCGCACCGGCAUGGCUGCUAUUGCCGAGGUACCUGUAGAGCUUGGAAACGACAGUCAGACAAGCCAAGCAAACACCACAGACAGCCAAGCCAAGCAAACACCACAAACAGCGAAGAGAAGGCUCGGAAGCAAACACCACAGACAGCCAAGCCAAGCAAACACCACAAACAGCGAAGAGAAGGCUCGGAUGGAGCAUGCUCGCUGGAUCUACGCCAACAACAUAUUAUUCCUUGAGCCUCUUCUUGCACGGUAGAGCCGUGCAAAACAAGAUCGAGCAGACCAGGCUCGCGAAGCCCGAGCCACUUAGGGCACGUGCGAUGAUUCAUAAGGCCGUCUUAUCUUAGCAGUCGCUAUGUAAUUUAGAUAUAACAACAAAAUAUAAUGUAUAAUUGAUUAUUUUUAGUCUUACCUUCAGUAAUCAGAUAUCCUAAAUUUGUGGUCAUAGAGAUUAUGCUAAGAGAUCAUCUCUUAAUUAAGAGAAGGCAAACCUUUUUUUUUACAUUCUCUUUCCUCCACCUCAGCGUUUAUUCUACGUGGCACUGCUAAGAUAUUACUAUUGUAUAUGCUCUAAC
Molecule: non-coding RNA, 3705 nt
Organism: Lolium perenne
Lineage: Eukaryota; Viridiplantae; Streptophyta; Magnoliopsida; Poales; Poaceae
Source: RefSeq, a predicted model, not a curated record